CCUACGGGUGGCAGCAGUGAGGAAUAUUGGUCAAUGGCCGGAAGGCUGAACCAGCCAUGCCGCGUGAAGGUCAGUGCCCUAUGGGCGUUAAACUUCUUUUGUGCGGGAGCAAUAAUGGUCACGUGUGGCCAGACGAGAGUACCGUACGAAUAAGCAUCGGCUAACUCCGUGCCAGCAGCCGCGGUACUACGGGGGAUGCAAGCGUUGUCCGGAUUUACUGGGGGUAAAGGGCGUGUAGCCGGGAAGGCAAGUCAGAUGUGAAAUCCGGAGGCUCAACCUCCGAAUUGCAUUUGAAACUGUUUUUCUUGAGUACUGGAGAGGCAGACGGAAUUCCUUGUGUAGCGGUGAAAUGCGUAGAUAUAAGGAGGAACACCAGUGGCGAAGGCGGUCUGCUGGACAGCAACUGACGGUGAGGCGCGAAAGCGUGGGGAGCAAACAGGAUUAGAUACCCCAGUAGUC
This 459-nucleotide ribosomal RNA is filed under the name uncultured bacterium. RNAcentral describes it as "partial 16S ribosomal RNA". It matches the Rfam family "Bacterial small subunit ribosomal RNA", at positions 338 to 795 of the family's 1533-position model. The record is from RNAcentral.